This 253-nucleotide ribosomal RNA is filed under the name uncultured bacterium. RNAcentral's name for it is "partial 16S ribosomal RNA". It matches the Rfam family "Bacterial small subunit ribosomal RNA", at positions 524 to 776 of the family's 1533-position model. The record is from RNAcentral.
UACAGAGGUCCCAAGCGUUGUUCGGAUUCAUUGGGCGUAAAGGGUGCGUAGGCGGCGCGGUAAGUCGGGUGUGAAAUCUCGGGGCUUAACUCCGAAACUGCACUCGAUACUGCCGUGCUUGAGGACUGGAGAGGAGACUGGAAUUUACGGUGUAGCGGUGAAAUGCGUAGAUAUCGUAAGGAAGACCAGUGGCGAAGGCGGGUCUCUGGACAGUUCCUGACGCUGAGGCACGAAGGUCAGGGGAGCAAACGGG